Long non-coding RNA from Melopsittacus undulatus (budgerigar), 301 nucleotides. RefSeq lists it as uncharacterized. The record is from RefSeq and is a predicted model, not a curated record. The transcript is spliced from 3 exons. NCBI's taxonomy places the organism in Eukaryota, Metazoa, Chordata, Aves, Psittaciformes, Psittaculidae.
CAUAGAGCACCGAGCCACCGACAGACACAGACCGACUGACGCCGCGCCCCGGUCCCCAUCAUGCUCUCUCAGGACCACCCGAGCUCGGAUCCGGCUCCGCUCCCGCAGGAUCCGGUUUGGGCCGGGCCCGAGGCGCUGGGUCCGGGCUGGGGGGAGCCGGAGCCCCCCGGGGGGGAGGAGCCGGAGCCGGAGCCCGAGGACAGCGACGACACCGACGGGGCCGCCCGAGCCUACGAGCGGCUGCAGAGCGAACUGCGGGCGGAGGGGCUGCCCCCGACCGUGGAGCGGGGCGAGGAGCACG